Molecule: ribosomal RNA, 248 nt
Filed under: uncultured bacterium
Lineage: Bacteria
Description: partial 16S ribosomal RNA
Rfam family: Bacterial small subunit ribosomal RNA
Source: RNAcentral
AUACGUAGGGGGGCUAGCGUUAUCCGGAUUUACUGGGCGUAAAGGGUGCGUAGGUGGUUUCUUAAGUCAGGAGUGAAAGGCUACGGCUCAACCGUAGUAAGCUCUUGAAACUGGGAAACUUGAGUGCAGGAGAGGAGAGUGGAAUUCCUAGUGUAGCGGUGAAAUGCGUAGAUAUUAGGAGGAACACCAGUAGCGAAGGCGGCUUUCUGGACUGUAACUGACACUGAGGCACGAAAGCGGUGGGGAGC